GCGACCCCAGGUCAGGCGGGAUUACCCCGCUG
This 32-nucleotide ribosomal RNA is filed under the name Isodon inflexus. RNAcentral describes it as "partial 26S ribosomal RNA". Lineage: Eukaryota; Viridiplantae; Streptophyta; Magnoliopsida; Lamiales; Lamiaceae. The record is from RNAcentral.